This is a long non-coding RNA of Ornithodoros turicata, 299 nucleotides long. RefSeq lists it as uncharacterized. The record is from RefSeq and is a predicted model, not a curated record. The transcript is spliced from 3 exons. NCBI's taxonomy places the organism in Eukaryota, Metazoa, Arthropoda, Arachnida, Ixodida, Argasidae.
AUUUUGACGGCGCGCUAUUCUUCAAAUACUAAGUGAUGUGAUGCGACGAACGGGAGCAAUGGGCGGUGAAGCAGGGAACAAGAAAUUUCUUGUUGUGAAGUUUCCUGAUGAAGAAGAAAGCAUCGCCACAGUCCACAUUAAUUGGAUGGCAGAGGGAAAAUGUCUUUGGCCAAACGAGAAAGAUCCGUCAAGGCUGCGUCAGAUGGUAAUAAAUGGCGCAACACCACAACAGAGCUGGGCUAAGCACAACUGUAUUGUGCUUUCGUCAUUCGAUACAUAUGGAGAAGCACAGCAGAAAC